Molecule: ribosomal RNA, 491 nt
Filed under: uncultured bacterium
Lineage: Bacteria
Description: partial 16S ribosomal RNA
Rfam family: Bacterial small subunit ribosomal RNA
Source: RNAcentral
AGUGAACGCUGGCGGUAGGCCUAACACAUGCAAGUCGAACGGCAGCACAGUAAGAGCUUGCUCUUACGGGUGGCGAGUGGCGGACGGGUGAGGAAUACAUCGGAAUCUACUUUUUCGUGGGGGAUAACGUAGGGAAACUUACGCUAAUACCGCAUACGACCUACGGGUGAAAGCAGGGGAUCUUCGGACCUUGCGCGAUUGAAUGAGCCGAUGUCGGAUUAGCUAGUUGGCGGGGUAAAGGCCCACCAAGGCGACGAUCCGUAGCUGGUCUGAGAGGAUGAUCAGCCACACUGGAACUGAGACACGGUCCAGACUCCGACGGGAGGCAGCAGUGGGGAAGAUUGGACAAUGGGCGCAAGCCUGAUCCAGCCAUACCGCGUGGGUGAAGAAGGCCUUCGGGUUGUAAAGCCCUUUUGUUGGGAAAGAAAAGCAGCAGGUUAAUACCCCGCUGUUCUGACGGUACCCAAAGAAUAAGCACCGGCUAACUUCGU